Molecule: ribosomal RNA, 486 nt
Filed under: uncultured bacterium
Lineage: Bacteria
Description: bacterial SSU rRNA
Rfam family: Bacterial small subunit ribosomal RNA
Source: RNAcentral
AUUGAACGCUGGCGGCAGGCUUAACACAUGCAAGUCGAGCGGUAACAUUUCCAGCUUGCUAGAGAUGACGAGCGGCGGACGGGUGAGUAAUACUUAGGAAUCUACUUAGUAGUGGGGGAUAGCUCGGGGAAACUUGAAUUAAUACCGCAUACGACCUACGGGAGAAAGGGGGCAACUUGUUGCUCUCGCUAUUAGAUGAGCCUAAGUCGGAUUAGCUAGAUGGUGGGGUAAAGGCCUACCAUGGCGACGAUCUGUAGCUGGUCUGAGAGGAUGAUCAGCCACACCGGGACUGAGACACGGCCCGGACUCCUACGGGAGGCAGCAGUGGGGAAUAUUGGACAAUGGGGAAACCCUGAUCCAGCCAUGCCGCGUGUGUGAAGAAGGCCUUUUGGUUGUAAAGCACUUUAAGCAGUGAAGAAGACUCUUCGGUUAAUACCCGGAGACGAUGACAUUAGCUGCAGAAUAAGCACCGGCUAACUCUGUGCC